CAUGGAUUGAAAACUAUACCACCAGGUACUCAAGGAAUUACAAUGAUGUCCAAGAGCAGUGGCCAGUUGUGCUACAGGCUCAGACAAGAGGAGGUUCAUUUGUGGGAACAGUAUGGCCAGCCUAAACCAAGGCAAGAUUUUACUGGAGAGGAUGAAGUAGGAAGAAAAAAGAAAAAAAAGAAAGUGAAGGAGAGAGCAAACAAGGAAGGGAGCCAAGCAUUCGACUAGUUCUUUUUCAUGUGACUAGGACAUGGCACGGACACAUCUGCAUCUGGAGAGAAAACAUCUGGACAUAGCAAACAACCAGGACUAGAGUUUCCAUUCACAGUCCACACCUACCAGGCAUGCCUUCCGCGUUGUCCACCAUCUGAGAACAGUGAGUUCCAAAGGGUCCAUGUCAAAAUCAUUUUGAGUGUUUUGAUAAGAUAUCAG
This 432-nucleotide long non-coding RNA is filed under the name Felis catus (domestic cat). RNAcentral describes it as "lncRNA (ENSFCAG00000051348.1)". The record is from RNAcentral. Lineage: Eukaryota; Metazoa; Chordata; Mammalia; Carnivora; Felidae.